AGAGAGGUAGAACUCAACUCACAGGCAGGACAGAGAGAGAAAGAGACCCAGUGAAGACCUUUGAAGAUCUCUGAAGAAGUGAAGCUACAACUGAAGACUUCAGAAGGAGACGAUCACCAUGGCGAUAUUGACCAUCAUUCUGCUUGUCAGCACAGCUUUUGCUCUGGGAGAUGCUAUGACACGACCCAAGACCCCAUGUGAGGUUGCUAGACGUGCCGCUUUAAAUGGCUCAGUUGGAGCCUACAUUCCCACAUGUGACGGCAAUGGACAAUACACCCCCAAGCAAUGUUGGGGCUCUACAGGUUACUGUUGGUGUGUGACCAGUACUGGACAGAAGAUCCCGGGUACUGAGACUCCACCAGGCACUGCUAUCAACUGCUAGCAACUGUUCCACCAAGGUGAAAGACGUUGGAAUGAAGACGUUGAAAAGACGAACAGUUGUCUUUACUGUACUACAGGAACUGAUUCGCAUCCCAUAUAAAUACAUGAAGAAAUCCUGAUAAUAAACUUGUUUAACUUA
Salvelinus fontinalis (brook trout) is the source of this 520-nucleotide long non-coding RNA. RefSeq lists it as uncharacterized. Lineage: Eukaryota; Metazoa; Chordata; Actinopteri; Salmoniformes; Salmonidae. The transcript has 5 exons. The record is from RefSeq and is a predicted model, not a curated record.